Molecule: RNA transcript, 7691 nt
Organism: Toxorhynchites rutilus septentrionalis
Lineage: Eukaryota; Metazoa; Arthropoda; Insecta; Diptera; Culicidae
Gene: mim
Gene name: probable serine/threonine-protein kinase DDB_G0267686
Exons: 20
Source: RefSeq, a predicted model, not a curated record
UGUUCGCGUCGUAUCAUCUGUCGCUGCGUUUAGUGCUGGUUGAUUCUUUUUUAAGUUCCUUGAUAAGUGACUUUAAUUUUUUUCUCAUUGCAUUAAUUCAUGCUUUGGUGCGAGAUCACGUAAAAUAAAGAUGUUCCAAAACAAAUGGUUUUGUUUGUGAUAUUGCACGCGGUUCGCAAAAGUGAAAUGAUUCGAUUGUAGACAUGUUUUGAGUGAUUUUCAUGGCAGCUUCUAAAUGGUGCGUUAGGAGAGCUGAUUUUCAUAGAUUUUUCGAUUGAUUUGGAAUUCAUAUGAGUGCUUUGAAAAGUGUCGAACGGUGGAUAUUGGCUAUUGAAAAUUUUCGUAGCGGAAAAUUGCUAGACAAUUGAGGAGAAAAAAAGUUGCACAAAAGAUUACAACUUCAGAGCUCUGUGUUUGUGCGUAAUCGGAUGAAAAUAAUUUUGUAUGUGUCUGUCUACGAAAGCAGACAAAUAUAGAAAACGGAAAGGAUAUCUAAACUACACAGCAGUGGCAGCAGCAGGCCAGGUUUGGACAUUUUGCUGGGCUCUUCAUGUAUUGGGAAUAUGAAACGCACCAUACACGAUCAAAGUUGGCCGCAUAUGAGUGAGAAUAAGUGCAACCAGAGCGCUGAAAGUGCCCAUCGAAAGGUCAAAAUUCCCAUGUAUUAGUGCGAGGCAUAAGAUUGGACGUUGGAAUGAGAACAAAACUGGUCUGUUCUGCUCAUCCGCACCGCAGAAGUUACUCGCGAUCGCGAAUUUAGGUGUGCUGAUGAAUGAAUUACAUUCAGUGUAAGUGUUACCAUCGUUUUCAUAAAAACGAAAAACAACCUCCAGUGCGAAUCGGAGAAAGUGUGAAAACAAAGAUUCGUUUACUUCGUCUGGAAGCCAUUAGCGGCAAACGUGUGUGCAUAGUUAGAUAGCAGCGGAAGCUCUUCUGUUCGACCGCAUUCAGAAUAGACAAAUCCGACGGGUACCACAGCAAGAUGGAAAAUACCGAUAAUGAUGUUUUAUCUCAUUUAAUUGAAGUUACUGUUUGUGACGAGAGCGUGAAAGAAAUAGGGGUGUAAUCGAUUUUUUCAUGCAAUAUUUAUUUACCAGGGAGAGUGCAUUGUAAAGAGUCCGACUGCUGGUGGUAUCUGCAGUCCGGAAACUGCCUUCAAUCGCAUUUAGAUUGCUGAAUACAUACAAGCAUUUACGAAAAUAUACAUACACCCGACCAUACUCAACGAUGGAUAUAGGAAUGGAGCGUAAUGAGGGAGGUGCUGCCACCAUAGGCACUCUCUUUCAGCACAUCGUUAACGAAAUGAAGAACACCGGUCCACUAUGGGAGGAUUUAAUUGCAAAAGCCACAAAGCUGCACGCUUGUUUACGUGCUGCGAUACAAGCUUUGGCAGCUUAUUUGGAGGCAUUCCAAAAAAUAGCUGAUGCCGCUACGAAUUCGAAGGGUGCCACCAAAGAAAUAGGCACUGCAUUAACCCGAGUCUGUUUGCGUCACAAAGCGGUGGAAACACGGAUGAAAACCUUCACCGCCGCAAUGAUGGACUAUCUGAUAGUGCCGCUACAAGAUAAGUUGGAAGACUGGAAGAAACAGGUAGUCAUUAUCGAUAAAGAUCAUGCCAAAGAAUACAAACGCUGCCGAGCGGAAUUGAAGAAGCGUUCCAGUGAUACGCUAAGGCUACAGAAGAAAGCCCGAAAGGGUCAAGCCGAUAACUUGCACAUUCUAGUCGAGUCUUCCAUGCAGGAUGUAACUCUGCGACGGUGCGAAUUGGAGGAAGUUGAGCGGAAGUCGUUGCGCACUAUAAUGGUCGAGGAACGAUCGCGUUACUGUACCUUUGUAAAUAUGCUACAGCCUGUGGUACACGAGGAGUGCGAGGUGAUGUCAGAGUUGAGUCAUCUGCAAGAAGCAAUGCAGCUCAUAGCGGUAGUCACGAAGGAUCCAUCAAUACUCCCUCAAGCAUCAGAAGAACUGAUUUUAGAGUCUAAAACGAAUAUUAAUCUCUAUCCCGAUUCACCAGGGGGUUCCAACUCUCAGGGUGGAUGUUCCAACUCGUUGGGAUCGCGCAAAAGUUCCGUCUGUUCAAUCAGUUCAAUGAACAGCAGCAGCAGUGGAUCUCCUGGGCAUCAGUUCCAAAGAUCGCUCUCUCAGUAUUCCCCAGCGAUACGUUUGAAACCAGGUGAAUCUAGCGAUAGCGGGUUUUGUUCUUCACCAGCUCUGACUUCACAGGCUUCCACACUAGCUAGUCAAUCACAUGCAGUGUCAACUUGGCCACCGCAUACGCAAGAUGGAGCAGUGAAUGUCGACAGACCACAUACCAUAUCUUCAGCCUACGAGAAAGGUCAUCAAAGACCUGCGCUCACGGUUUAUACGUUCCAAAAUCCAGAAGUUAUUUCCGAGAAUCAAAAAUCUCCUGCCAAUGUAUCGUGCCGACCACCUCUUCCAGUGCGUUGUUCAUCGCUAGAAAGGCCAUUAUCGACCUCAUCUAUGAAAAAUGCAAACGCCAAUAUUCCAAGACAGUGUCCGUCACCCAUUCCAGCACAUAUCACCAAAGAACAUCCACAGCUACAGCCCACCUACGUCAAUAUGACAGAACUGGCAUCGAUGGCUGCUUCGAAAAUUACUAACAACAAUAACUCAACUAACCAGUUGCAAUCAUCGGCUCAAACUUCAAUACAACCACAACAUAUAACAUAUCAGCAACUACAUUCUCCGGUACUGUCGUCGGCUUCUUCGCUCAUUUCGCCAGAUUCAAGUGCAACCAACGCAAUUAGUUCACCUGACGUUUCAGCUUGCAGCACUCAGACUCCGCAAAACACACCUCAGACUGGAUCACCACAAACGCCUAUUUACAGCUGUAGUACCUUGGUUGUUGAAACUGGUACCAGCGAGGCAGGUGAUAGUUGUGGCGCAACCAAUGGUAACGGAAGUGAUGUUUUCUCGACAUGCGUCGGUGCUGCCGUCAACACAAAAUCUGAACAUGUUACUGCUGCUGAAAAUGAAAGUAAUAAACCAAAAUCAUCUACAUCUACGAAUGUCACCGAUGAUAACAUAUCAAAUCAAUCUAACACUAAUAACACAUCUCAAUCCAUCACAGAUAAAGAUAUACUUAAAUGUACCGGUUCAGUUUUAGAGAAAACGUCAAUGUUUGAGCAACAAAUAAACAACAACCAACAUCCACAACAGGGACCGUUGAAUACUCCCACCAGAAACGAGAACAUUUACGGACGAAAGAACGAUGACAUUAGUAAAACUUCCAGCCUAAUUGUGGAUAAAGAUGCAGAUCGGAUCGACAACGAAACUAUAGAAGAACUUAAUAAUUUAAUUGGCGAAUUAGAUUUGUUCCAAAAAGAACACGAAUUACGGCUGGAGGAACACUAUCAAUCAACGAAUUCACCAAAUGAAAAUGGCUUGGAGCAUACCAGCAAUGGUCUGCAUUUCUCGUCGAAUAAUAGUGACUCGUCGAUCAGUGAUCGUCACGAUAGGACUUCCAUUUCCAGUUCAAUGAAUAUAGAAGGAUUUAAUACGUCGUUGAAUAGCACAAAUCUAGGCCAUGAGUACUCUUUGGGCUAUAGUGACAAUAACAUCAACAUGUACAGCGGAAUCGAUCAACAAACAUCCGACUCCGAUACUGGGUUUGAGAAUCCCUCAUUCAUACACCUCAACGAUGCAGAAAUUGUGGUCAAACGACAGAAUAACUUCGAGAACGUAGAUCCAGAAAACUACUACAGUCAAAAUAUGAGUGAAAUUGUCGUACUGCGUAGCAAAGAUACGAAAAGUGAUGCAACGAGGAUAGAUGAAAAUCCCAGUACUGAUGGUCAGCAAAGAUUGAGUUCGUUCAAAUUGAACUCGAGAUCAGCCUCCCCCGCACUAUCAUCGUUCACGAUUUCUAAAUCGCCGACACACUCAAUAACAUCCUUGAUUCCUACGUCAUCAUCAGUAUCAUCUCAACUAAAUGUUGCAAGUAGUAAAACCAAUGACAACAACAAUCAUAUAAUGAAGCUGCAACAACAACAACAACCCAGUCCAUUGUAUGCCAGCACCAAUGGUAAUGGGAAGUUUUCGUUAAUCUCAAUGCCUUCUGACGAGCACAUAAAUAAUAGAAUAAAGCCAGCAAUCACACCUCGACCUGCAUCGUUAUCUGGUGCCGCUCGAGUUACAAGACGAUCAUCUAUCAACACUGUAAAACCACCACCUCCCGUUCGAAGAAGUUCCAGUGUAACACCUAAUCCAAAUACAGGAGCUAAUUCUCCAAAUCUAACUCAACAAAGUCUUGGAUACACAUCUUCAGAAAGUUUACCUCCGCCACCUGCAUACUUGCUCGACAGUACUGCUGGAAAUUCCCCAAUUCCAGGUAACGUAGCGGGCACGGUAAAGGCUCUCAAUGAAAUUCGGCAUAAGCCGGCUAGUCCAAGUGUUCUGCGGCGGGCAAGUCAAAACUUUCCAGCUCAACAGCAAUCUCCCUUGAAUUUCAAUUAUUUUGGCUUUUUUUGUUUUUCAUCAAUUGGCAAUGCGCGAAUAAAACAGCACCAUACCUCAAAUGCAUACAGCAGCACACCAAAACAUGAAACAAGUAGUAAGCCUGCUUCGCCUUACACUCCUCAGUCUCCGCCAAAUUCAUUUCAUUCUAGCGGUGAUAGUCCUAAUAUGCCAUCAAAUAGGUCGUCAAAACCGUCACAUCAUCAACACGGGAUAUACGCACAACCAAAACAGCUUUCAACUAUGUCCAGCUUCCGAACCUCGAGUCCAGCUCCUCAAAAACAAAGCACUGGGUUCUUAGCUCAACUGAAUGCGCGAAUUGCGCCUAAUAAAGCUCAGCAACAGUUAACGUCACAAAACUAUGAAGGAGUGUACCAUAGAAACAAUCCAGCGGACCAACGUUCGUUUUACAGCAGCAGCAGCAGCAGUAAUCAACAGUCACAAUCACAACAAGGAAUUUAUUCCUCUACUCAACAAUCGAGUACACAACAACAACAACAGCAACAACAACAACAACAAGCACAGUCACACUACAAUCAUCAUCAGCAACAACAAGCCGUAGCGCCAACCAAUCAAAGAGACGGUAAAACCCAAAUUUAUCCCACUUCUCAUUCCCAAAGUCAGCUGCAGCAGCAGCAUCAUCAUUAUCAGCAACAACAGCAACAACUAAAAUAUCAACAGCAACAACAAUCAACGUCCCAACAUUAUUAUCAACCGCAGCAGCAAUAUGCUACGCAGAAUAUUUAUGUCUCCACUAAUCCAUUCGUAACAUCAGUUAGUCCAGUUCAUUCCGUCUCUAGCUACUCACCUUCGUCGUUUGGAAAAUCUCCUCGUGAAAGUAACAGUGCUAGCGGAAGUGUAGGUGGUGGCCCUAGCAGUAGUAGUCACGAUAACUCCAGCCAUGACGGUGUCCACUGUCGUUCAAGUCACCAAUCUCGAAAUAGUGGCUCCGUUGGAAGUGCGAAUAUGUCGACCCAUAAAGUUCUCACUAAAACCAGUACCGGGUUCCUGGAGAAUCUGAACGCAAGACUAGCAGAACAGCGAUUAUCUGGGAAAGCAUUCGCUGUCCGAAACCUAAUCAACAGUAAAGCAUUGGAUGACGAGAAUUGCCAUAAAUACUAUCAGAAUGUUUAAGUUAUCGAACAGCAAUCAACUGUACAACAUUCAAAUAAAAUCUUGUUUGUUGAUAGCUCAUGUUAAGCCUGACCCUCGGAUAUGUCACGAGUCAUUGAUGGAUCAAAUCAAACGGGGGGCUACCCUGAAACGAAAUAGAACUGUCAACGAUCGAAGCGCGCCAAAAAUUCAUUAGAAAUCCGAAAAACGAAAAUUGAUGUCGGAACUCAACAUCAGAUACAACAACAUUCAACACAACAAUGGAAUACGAAAGAGCGGAACGAGUUUUGUUUCUUUUACAUUUUCUUAUGGAAGUGAAUAUUAGUGUAUAUUGAAUUAUCGAGAUGAAUAUUACGUCCAAUGAAUUACGGGCUCGGAUUUAAGUUUAUCAUUUUUUGUUGAAUUUCUUUUCCUUCGUGGAAAAAUAGAACCCACUAAAUGUGGAUGUGGGAGAAUGCAACGUACUUUUUGAACAGUCUUUCAAUUUGAAUAAACGACAGCGAGAGAAAAGAACAAACAAUAAUGUGGAUGAAUGUUAAUUAUACAUAUUUCAAGUGUUAUCUAAUGUUUACUAAUAUGUAUUCAAUAUCAGUUCGAUAUAUAAUAUUAACACAUUUGGGCAGGCAAUGAAUGCUAAAGUAAAUAUUUGCACCAAGCAAAGCUUUUGCCGACACAUUCAGUUUACAAAAAAAAAUUAUAUUCUCUUCGAAUAUGUAUUAUCAGUUUCUAAAUGCCAUGCCUUUGUUUAACAAUGCGUUCUUAGCACGAAUUCAUAGUGAUGGUAAAUUCCAUACCAAAGUUACAAGAAUUUGUCUCGACAUUUCAUAAAUCAAACUCAAAACAUUAUCAGAACGUAUUCUUGCGUAGAAUGUGUAUACAAUACAAUUGAAGAAGGUAUCAUUUUCUCUUAGUAUAACAAAAGCACUGAAACAAGAAAGCCUCUUUCAAGAGGAAUAUCUAUGAAAACACUCACUAUAUCAAUUAUUAGUGGUACUGAGCUAUUAGACAGAGUUGUAUAUUCAACACACAAAAAUGUAAAUCAUAUUAUUAAUACUAGUAUUUUCCCUCGACAUUUUACUAGCUGGGAAAUCGAAAAAGAAGUACUGAAUGUCGUCCAUUAACAUUUAGGAAAACCAUAUAUUUGCAUAUACAUAUAAAAAAGGCUCAACUAGAGAACUAUCUACAAAAUUCCUGACUUUUAAUAAUGCGAAACGGAGGAAUGAAAAGGCUGAUUUUAACAACAUCAUAGGAUUCUAUCAACUAGUGACAGAAUCAGGUUCAUCCUUAUUUAUUCUCGAAUCAGAACGAGAGAAAAAAAAUCAACUAUAAAAGCAUCGGAUAAGAAAAAAUAUUGUAACGUUUUACCGACGUUCGUCUUCCGCCAAAGACAAACCAUAGGAACGUGUUGAAUAACAUCAUCGAAAGUUAUUUGACCACCUUCAAAGCACAGAAACGUUUUCCUUCACGGUACCAGUUUACACAUCAAAGAGGCUAAAUUAUUAACAAAUUCAGAGGAUAUUUUUUGUUUCAAUUAUUUAUUCUGUAGGUUGAUAUUUAUUCACUCUAAGUUGUUUGUGUAUAAAUUGUUUAACAAGUACUACAAAUAUGAUCGAAUCUCGAAUAGCCGCCCUAAGCUGUAAAAGUAGUAAUUUUGCAUAUAAUUUACACCUAUCAUAAACAACCUUGUAUAUAUGCGGAAUAUUUUAGAGCUCGAUUUGUUUAUAGGUUAAUUAAUUGAAGGAGAUUAUAUAAAAUGGCAUUGUCUACAACAUCACAGUAAAAGCAGUAGGUUAUAUGGCGUUUCUGAAGAUGAAGUGGAAGAAAUGCAAGAAAGAAAAACAAUAACAAUAAUUACUGAUAGGCAAAGCAAAAAUUUUGUAUCUGCACGUAAUUUGAAAACAUCAUCUAAUGGAAAGUAUAUUUUUUCAUAUCGGACCGAACAUAGAACGUUAGUGUCUCCAAGCUAUGAAUAACAGCUGUAACAACAAACGGUAAAAAGUGUAACGUUUAAUUUAAAUCCAUCAUACACUAUCACGAACAUAUAUAGCUGUAAUCUGAAACAUAUUGAAUAAAAGUGAGUGACUGGAACAAAUAAUUGUAGCGUU